UCAAGCGAACAAGGGCGCAGGGCGAAUGCCUUGGCACUGGGAGCCGAUGAAAGACGUGAUAAGCUGCGAUAAGCUUCGGGGAGCUGCAAAUAAGCAUUGAUCCGGAGAUUUCUGAAUGAGGAAACUCACCUGGGUUCAUACUCGGGUACAAUGCACUGAAAUUUAAAAUAGGUGUAUUGAGGGAACCGCCUGAACUGAAACAUCUAAGUAGGGCGAGGAAGAGACAUCAAACGAGAUUCCGUAAGUAGUGGCGAGCGAACGCGGAAGAGGGCAAACCGAGAGUAGAAAUACUUUCGGGGUACGGACUGCUUUUAAGACUCAAUCUGUUAACCGAACGGCAUGGGAAGGCCGGUCAGAGAGUGUGAGAACCACGUAGGUGAAAACGGAGAGAGCUGCGCAGGAUCCAGAGUACGGCCAGACACGUGAAACCUGGUCGGAAUACGGGGGGACCACCCUCCAACCCUAAAUACUACCCAGUGACCGAUAGCGUAUAGUACUGUGAAGGAAAGGUGAAAAGCACCCCGGGAGGGGAGUGAAAAAGAACCUGAAACCCUGUGCCUACAAGCACCUAGAGCACGUCAAUGUGUGAUAGGGUACUUUUUGUAGAACGGUCCGGCGAGCGAUUGUAUGCAGCAAGGUUAAGGACUUAAGGUCUGGAGCCGAAGCGAAAGCGAGUUUGAAAAGGGCGUUAAGUUGCAUAUAAUGGGCCCGAAACCGGGUGACCUACCCAUGGUCAGGUUGAAGUGGAAGUAAAAUUCCAUGGAGGACCGAACCGACCUCCGUUGAAAAGGCGGCGGAUGAACUGUGGGUAGCGGAGAAAUUCCAAUCGAACCCGGAGAUAGCUGGUUCUCCCCGAAAUAGUUUUAGGACUAGCCUCAAGUUAGAUACCUGGAGGUAAAGCACUGAAUAGCCUAGCGGCCGAGAGGUUAGCGAAGCUUAUCAAACUCAGAAUGCCAGAGUAUUGAUGCUUGGGAGUCAGACAGUGUCAGAUAAAUGUCAUUGUCAAAAGGGAAACAGCCCAGAUCUACAGCUAAGGUCCCAAAGUCAGGUUAAGUGGAAAACGAUGUGAAGAUACGCAGACAACCAGGAUGUUGGCUCAGAAGCAGCCACUCAUUCAAAGAGUGCGUAAUAGCUCACUGGUCGAGCGUCUUUGCGCGGAGAAUUUAACGGGGCUAAACCUGACACCGAAGCUUAGGCAAUACAGCAAUGUAUUGGGUAGGGGAGCGUUGUAUACGCGGAGAAACAGUAGCGCAAGCGGCUGUGGAGUGUAUAGAAGUGAGAAUGCCGGAAUGAGUAGCGCGAAUGCAGUGAGAAUCUGCAUGGCCGAAAGCCUCAGGUUUCUGGAGGAAGGUUCGUCCGCUCCAGGUUAGUCGGGAGCUAAGGUGAGGCCGGAAGGCGUAGCCGAUGCACAGACGGUAGAGAUUCCGUCACCACCAAAAGAGUUAAGCACAGGGACACAUUUGAAGUCUCAGAGCCGGGUGUUGGUUCCGGUAGAGAUCGAGGGAAAUUAGUACCGAAGUCUGGGAUGGAAGAUGGCGAGAAAAGCUGUGUGUAUUUCUGAGGUGCCCGUACCGCAAACCGACACAGGUAGGUAGGAAGAAGAUUCUAAGGCCAACGGGAGAAGGGUUGUUAAGGAACUCGGCAAAUUGACCCCGUAACUUCGGGAGAAGGGGUGCUCCAGAGAUGGAGCCGCAGAGAAUCGGCCCAAGCAACUGUUUACCAAAAACACAGGUUUGUGCUAAAUCGAAAGAUGACGUAUACGAGCUGACGCCUGCCCGGUGCUGGAAGGUUAAGAGGAGAUGUGCAAGCAUUGAAUCGAAGCCCCAGUGAACGGCGGCCGUAACUAUAACGGUCCUAAGGUAGCGAAAUUCCUUGUCAGGUAAG
Molecule: ribosomal RNA, 1884 nt
Filed under: human gut metagenome
Description: bacterial LSU rRNA
Rfam family: Bacterial large subunit ribosomal RNA
Source: RNAcentral